GUGAAUCAUCGAAUUUUUGAACGCAAAUUGCGCUUCCUGGCAUCCCGGGGAGUAUGCCUGUUUGAGGGUCAGAAUUUAUAAAAAGUCGGUUUAGUUACAAAUUGUGACGUUUCCGGAGUUUGGUCUAUCUUAACAUUUUUGGUUAAGAGGCUUAAAAUUGACCUUUUUGCGUAUUUUUUUACGUAAAUUAAUUUUUUUUAUUCGUCUAUUCUUAAUGCUAAAAUCUUAUUAGCUUCGAUCACAUCGUGUGGCUUCGUUUCCA
RNAcentral lists this unclassified non-coding RNA (262 nucleotides) under Glomeraceae sp. Its description in RNAcentral is "partial contains 5.8S ribosomal RNA and internal transcribed spacer 2". The stretch from base 1 to 71 matches the Rfam family "5.8S ribosomal RNA", at positions 84 to 154 of the family's 154-position model. Lineage: Eukaryota; Fungi; Glomeromycota; Glomeromycetes; Glomerales; Glomeraceae. The record is from RNAcentral.